UCACAGUGGUUUAGUAGGUAUUCACCUUUUCCCAGAAAGCAGGUGUUAUUGAUAAAACUUAUAGCGAAUUUGAAAGUGCAAAAUUAUAAACAAUAGUUAUUUACUGUAUAAACUAAACUACAUAUAAUAAAAUCAAUUAUUCUGACUUUUAGUUCGAUGUGUAUUCAAUAAUAUAAUAAUUUACGAAUUACGAUUGUGUGCAAAAAAAAGUUUUGUGAGAAAAUUGUAUAGAAAAAAAAAACUAAAAUUUGGUCGAAUUAUUGAAGUGUAAACCGUGACAAAAUUACAAAUAAAAUUUUUUCCGUGUUAUCAAUUACACAGUGCUGUGGUACCUACUAAAAACAAACUAAAGUGUUUCUCGAAAAUGACUUGAAUAAACUCUUGCAUGAGUUUCUUUGGAUUUUAUUAUCGUGCCUAGAAUAUAAACAACAUGACUACAGAUAGAUUUCACAAAGCAGCCAAAGAUGGCCUCCUGGAAGUCCUCCGGGAGGCGACGAGGAAGGAGUGCAACAACAAGGAUGAAUCAGGGAUGACCCCCACGUUAUGGGCUGCCUUCGAGGGACACAUUGAAGCUUUGAGAUUGUUAUGUGGAAGGGGAGGUGAGCCCGACAAAGCUGAUUAUUUCGGCAACACCGCCCUACAUCUCUCAGCGGCUAGAGGUCACAAGGAAUGCGUGACCUUCCUCAUAAACUUCGGUGCCAACAUGUAUGCGAUGGACGUUGAUGGGCAUUCCGCUCAAGAACUAGCUGCAAUCAAUGGCAGAGACGAUAUACUGCGCUUCCUAGACCAAGCCACGGGGAAACUAGAGAAUAAUGAUAAAAAAAAAGCCAAAUCACUCAAGGAAAAAGCGAAAAAAGACCACGAGAAAUUACAAAAACAAUACACCAAGAGACAGAGUAAAGCAGAGGUUAUGGCAGAAAAGGAGUUGAAGAAAUUGACGAAGGAAUGGGAUCACAGCUACAAUGAGGAGGUGUCGACGAUGCCGCAUAGACCCAGCAACGUUCUGAUGGCUUUGAAGCAAAAGAUGACACGAUCGACCAGUCAAGGGAAUCUUUUGGAAGAGCAGCCUAGACCGACGUACAGCGCUUUGGUUGGCACUGUAAACUCGGGCGCGCGAGGCCGAGGCGCGGUCUACAAGAAAGCUCUAGCGAGCAAAAUGCGCAACGGCACCUUAGGGAAGACCACAGCUUCUAAGGAUGAUUUUAAGGUUGGUGAGGUAGAAACCACAGGGCGUAGAUCGAUAACCUCGCUGAGCGGUCUGCGUCGCGACUCAGAAGUGAUGUACGUGGGAACAUUCGGCGCGGGCCCGCAGCAACGCGGCGCCGUCGCUGAUGUCUUCACCGAAGCCGAGCCGAGGAAACCCGCGCUUACAAGGUCGGCGAGUCAGCCGGACUUCAUGGCGGCGCAGAACGAAGACAGCGGCAUCGGACAAGAGGUGUUACUGCAGGAACCCGCUAGCAUAUUCGACAGGCCCGGAUUUGGGAGCGUUGCUUUUAGACGAUCCAUAACAGCCACCCUGAGCGCAUUGCCGGCCAGCGAAGAGUUAUCAAUAGGCUCAGCGGGCUCUUUAGCCGCCAGGCACGCAUACCAGCCCGCCGAGUGGAACUCCACACAAUCUGGAAGUUCAACGUUAACUUCAGAUGAAGAAGGCGAAGCGGACGAAACAGGCUACUCCUCCCUCGAACGAUUCCUCACAGCCUGGGGCCUCGCGCAAUACACGCAGAAGUUCAAAGACGAACAGAUCGACCUGGACGCGCUGAUGCUCCUCACUGAAAGCGAUAUGAAGUCCCUUGGCUUGCCCCUCGGCCCGUAUAGGAAGCUGGUGACUGCUGUGCAAGAGAGAAAACAUGCGUUGUCACAUCCUGGACCUAUGAUCGAUACUGCUAUAUAGAUAGGUAGUUUUGCCAGAAAUCAUACAAGAAGUUUCCCCAGUUUUCGCCAUGGAAACCUAGUUCGGUUCUCAUUUGAGUAUUAAUCAAAUAAAGCCAAUGAAAUUUUGUAGACACGUUAUUGUAACGACGAUUUUGCUAACCAAACUUAGCGCGCUACUAAAAAGAAGCAUUCGGAUUUUAGCGAUCGUGACUUCAUUCUGCUCGUCGAUUGGGCAUUAUUGCAUCAAUGAUUGCUACAAUCUCAAUUGUUGUGAUUGGCUGAAUUGAUGAUAUUUUUACUGCAAAUGCAUUUUAACCAAUGAUGAGUGUUCAAUCAGAGGUGUUUGCGAUUGUCUAUAUCUGUCAUUUUCAAACUUAAUUUUCCUUAAAAUCGUCAACCUAUGACCUACCUACUACCUACCUACUGCUAAGGUUGGUAGUUUUAUCAGAAAUUAUAUUAGAAGUUUCCCCAGUUUUCUCCAUGGAAACGUAGUUGGUUUCUCAUUUGAAUAUAAACAAUCGAACUCAAUGAAAUGUUCACAUGUUUUAGAAACAACGACCCUAUUAUGAAAACAUCCCUCAAUUAUUCAAUAAUAUGUUUUCUUUUGUACCUACUUUACUGACUAUUUAUGUGAACUAGUUGUUAUUCUAGAAGUAAUUAAAAGUACUUAUUUACUUAUAUUUUUGUACCAAAACAUAAAGCUUUGAUUAUUAUUACCGGGUACAGAUUAUGAUUUAAACUUUUGAUGAAACAUUGAAUUAUUGUAUUUAUUCAAAGAAUUGCUAUUUUGUGUGCGUGUGCGUUUUUGAAGUGUUUAUAAAAAGUAAUUUAAGUAUUGAUUCAGUAAUAUAAAGUCAUUUUAAUAGUAAGCCUAUUGUGAUGUGAUGUUGCAAGCAAUCCAUUCCAUCCAUACGCCAUAUUAAAUAUUUUUAUAGAGACAAAUAUACAUUUUUUAAAUAUUUUUAA
Maniola jurtina (meadow brown) is the source of this 2838-nucleotide RNA transcript. It is a transcript of the gene named Usher syndrome type-1G protein homolog, with no coding region annotated. The transcript is spliced from 10 exons. Lineage: Eukaryota; Metazoa; Arthropoda; Insecta; Lepidoptera; Nymphalidae. The record is from RefSeq and is a predicted model, not a curated record.